This 253-nucleotide ribosomal RNA is filed under the name uncultured bacterium. RNAcentral's name for it is "partial 16S ribosomal RNA". It matches the Rfam family "Bacterial small subunit ribosomal RNA", at positions 524 to 776 of the family's 1533-position model. The record is from RNAcentral.
UACGUAGGGUGCGAGCGUUGUCCGGAAUUAUUGGGCGUAAAGAGCUCGUAGGCGGUUUGUUGCGUCGGCCGUGAAAACCUGCAGCUUAACUGUGGGCCUGCGGCCGAUACGGGCAGACUUGAGUUCGGUAGGGGAGACUGGAAUUCCUGGUGUAGCGGUGAAAUGCGCAGAUAUCAGGAGGAACACCGGUGACGAAGGCGGGUCUCUGGGCCGAUACUGACGCUGAGGAGCGAAAGCGUGGGGAGCGAACAGG